CCCAUUAAAACAAUAACAUGCUUAACAAUUCUACGAGUAAGAUCUAAUUAAAUGUUGCUAAAGAUCAUGAUCAUCACAUUUUUCGUCGAAUUAAUCACUUGCCGCAGCUCACUGCUCACAGUUUUAAGUACUCUAAUCAUGCAAAGAAAAUAAGAUAAUUAUGCAUAAUAACAUUAUCCCUAAAUAAGCCUCCUCAUAAUCUCAGUAGAUCCAUAAAGUUAAAAGUAACAAGUCAUAGAAAACAGUAUAAUCUGAGGAGCCUUCUGCCUUUACCCUACUUCACUUCUUCCUCUUCUUGGGGGGCUGGAGGGCUUCCUCAUCUUCAUCUUCUUCUCCUUCGUCCUCUACUUCAUCAACAUCGUCCUCCUCUUCGUCCCCACCAUCAUCAUCAUCAUCAUCGUCAUCAUCA
RNAcentral lists this unclassified non-coding RNA (409 nucleotides) under Hevea brasiliensis (rubber tree). Lineage: Eukaryota; Viridiplantae; Streptophyta; Magnoliopsida; Malpighiales; Euphorbiaceae. The record is from RNAcentral.